RNAcentral lists this unclassified non-coding RNA (319 nucleotides) under uncultured Scytalidium. RNAcentral describes it as "partial contains 5.8S ribosomal RNA, internal transcribed spacer 2, and large subunit ribosomal RNA". The stretch from base 1 to 102 matches the Rfam family "5.8S ribosomal RNA", at positions 53 to 154 of the family's 154-position model. The record is from RNAcentral. Lineage: Eukaryota; Fungi; Ascomycota.
AUGCGAUAAGUAAUGUGAAUUGCAGAAUUCAGUGAAUCAUCGAAUCUUUGAACGCACAUUGCGCCCGCCAGUAUUCUGGCGGGCAUGCCUGUCCGAGCGUCAUUUCAACCCUCGGGAGCCCCUUUAGGGGGGCUGCCGGUGUUGGGGAUCGCCCGCCGCCACGGUGGACGUCCCCUAAAACGAUUGGCGGUCUCGCUGUAGCCUCCUCUGCGCAGUAGCACUUGUUCUCGCAGGCGGAGCGCGGCGCGGCCCAGCCGUAAAACCCCCAACUUUUUACCAGGUUGACCUCGGAUCAGGUAGGAAUACCCGCUGAACUUAA